This 17-nucleotide transfer RNA is filed under the name Sceloporus virgatus. Its description in RNAcentral is "partial tRNA-Met". The record is from RNAcentral. Lineage: Eukaryota; Metazoa; Chordata; Lepidosauria; Squamata; Phrynosomatidae.
UAAACCCUUCCUCUACU